Betta splendens (Siamese fighting fish) is the source of this 2669-nucleotide long non-coding RNA. Ensembl lists it as uncharacterized. The record is from Ensembl. Lineage: Eukaryota; Metazoa; Chordata; Actinopteri; Anabantiformes; Osphronemidae.
CAUUGCUUUGCCAGCUGAGAUCAGCAUUUGUGCAGAUGAACAGGUCUUGGCGGGAGUAUGUGACGGCAGCAGCUCCAUAUGACCUGGCUGCCAUUGGCUUAGUGGAAAAUGAAAGCACGCCGUGAAUGAGCUGCCGUGGGACGAACCUGUCGCCCUCAGAGCGUCUCACAGGCGCAGGCACGAGCAGGAGUCCUAGACGGCGGCGCAGAGGCUGGAGGCUGGAGAUGGAGACGCUAAAAAGAGUAUUUUCUCGUAGGACUUUAAGGAGGGGGUCGAGCAUUCUGUCCACGUCAGACAACGUGCAGGAUGAACCUAAACCGGAAGAAGCCCUCCCCCUACAACUGAACCACAUGCCCGAGAAAGAGCCAGCGCAGAAGGAGCAGGAGGAGCAGGAGGAGCAGGAGACGGUGCCGUGUAGGAACCUCUCUGAGCUCCUUCAGAUGCGUCCUGGUUCAGACGUCAACACAUCGGUGGAUGGAGUCCCUUGCCUUGAGUGCACUGACUCAAACUCAGAGCAACAAAAUCAAAAUCAAGGCGGCAAUUGCCUCGUUCAGUUAUAUGUAUCCCAGCAGUUCCCAGAACCACCAGAGAACCAGAACCUUCAUCAGCACCUGCAGAACAUCCAGACCACUGUGCUCAACGAGCUCACGGGGCUGAGUCCUGUGUUGGAUGAGCGUCUGAUGGGUCAUCUGAUCAACUGCUACCAUAGACAGACAUUUAACCAAAUGCAUCGUCUGCUCCAGAACAUCAGCUCCACCCAGAACCACUUUGUGCUGAUGAUGUGGGUCCUGAAAACCUACCUGAGUCAGGAGCUGCUCGGACACCCUGACCUUCAAAAAGUAGAUCCCAUCAAAAACAUAGACCUGCUGCUGUUUACAGAGUGGGAAGCGAAGGCCAGAGACAAACUGCUUCAGAGCGUGCAUGAAGAAGUCGCCGAGUCUCUGGAGAACAUCCUGCUCAAUGAGAAAACCCAUGAACAAUGCAACAGUGAGGAGGAUUAUGUCAGAGUCUUCGUGGACACCAUUCAGUGCAUCAAAGCUGUGCACAAAGCAGCACAACAAAUCAGCUCAAAGCUGUCUGAUGAUGUUCAGAACGUUUGUUUUCAGCAGCUGCUGGUUUUUGUAAAGAGGUACUCAGACGAGCAGACUGAGGGUCUUGGAAAGAAAGCAGUGAUGCCAGAACCAGAAACAAUUCAAUUCUUAAAGACUCUGAAAACCUGUAAAGAACUCAAACAACACGUUCAAGUUGAAGCUGCUGGAGCUUCGUAUUCAGGGGAAAUUGUUAAAACACUGGACAAGCUGGAGGUUUUCACUCUGAACCUGCUCCUGGACAUCGUCAAUAAAAUGGCAGAGGCUAACCUCAGCACGUACUUCAAAUCAGACAGCAAGUGUUUCUCCUUGCUUCCUGCAGUACAGAAACGGUUUCCAAAGCAGUGCUAUGGUGCAGAUGAACAGAAGAGGGUUUUGAACAAGGCCUACAAGCUCAUAGUUCAGAUUUAUGUCAAACAUCUGAUCAAGACCAACAAGCGUCAACUGGAGAGUUGUUGGAAUCCUGACGUCAGCAAAACCAUCGGUGAAGAUGCUCAUGGAAUUCACAGCAUCAUGUCAGAGCUGGCCCCCGACGUUCCACAGCAGAACCGACUACUGCUGAAGGUCAAGGAGCUGUUGGACUGCGAGUGCAACGAGGCGCUGAAGCUCACAGCUGCGACCAUCCAGGAAGACUUUGGCAAGGACCCAGAGCUCCUGCCUGCCCUGCUCAAGUGGAAGGGCCUUCCUAAAGGGCAGGUGAGGGAGGUGCUGGAGACCAUUCAACACGACUACCACCACCAGUCCUGUUGCUCAUCUGUGAAAUGCUGGUAAAGACAACAGGAGGGGGGUGGUGGUUACUCCUGGUGGACUCCCUACAGACCGGGGUCCUCGGGUUCCCCUCUCCCAGGCUGGGAGUGUUUGCCUCUGGGUCUCCUGGGCUGCUGCAGCUCUGCCCGGGGGUUCUGUGUUCUGUUCCCUCCUGGAACUGAAGGUGUGUGGGCUCCCUGGCUACUGGGUUUCCUCCCUGUGCUCGUUGACUGUGUGUAGCGACUGGGUUCCUCCCAUCAUCACGGCUUGUACAUGUGGCAUUGUUCAUGCACCAACGUCUGUCUCACCUUUUGGGUGAACAAUGUUAAGCUACAGCUUUACUAACCUUGUAGUGGGACGCUCAACACCUCAGCUGAUAAACAGGCUUUGUAAACUUAGCUGUAAGUAUUACUGGUACUUAUCACCAUCAAUAUCAAUAAUGUGUAAUUAUGGUAGUUGUGAUGUUAUGUCACAGCUAUUAUUAAGUAUUAUGCGAUUAUGUAUAAUAAUAUUUAUGCAUAGAUGUGUAUGUACAGUAUAUUAUAUAUGUCUGUAUGCACAAGUGUAUGCACACGCCUUAACACAAGUAUUAAUAGUAAUUUAACAGUUAAAGCACAGUACAGCAGUUAUUUACUUAUGAACGUGUCCGCCUAAGGUAUUUAUUUAUUUAUUUAUUUACUCUAUUUACUGUAUUUCCUAUUUUUUUGCUUCAUUGAUUCGCUUGGUCUCAGUAGGUUUUGCACUCUCUCUACUACUUCCUCUGUAGACUCACAUCCUUCCCAGAUUAGCUGGAAUUACAAUAAAAUGACAGGACCUUGGCUUAAUGACGACUGU